RNAcentral lists this ribosomal RNA (407 nucleotides) under uncultured bacterium. RNAcentral describes it as "bacterial SSU rRNA". It matches the Rfam family "Bacterial small subunit ribosomal RNA", at positions 354 to 777 of the family's 1533-position model. The record is from RNAcentral.
GUCGGGAAUAUUGCGCAAUGGAGGAAACUCUGACGCAGUGACGCCGCGUAUAGGAAGAAGGUUUUCGGAUUGUAAACUAUUGUCGUUAGGGAAGAUACAAGACAGUACCUAAGGAGGAAGCUCCGGCUAACUACGUGCCAGCAGCCGCGGUAAUACGUAGGGAGCAAGCGUUAUCCGGAUUUAUUGGGUGUAAAGGGUGCGUAGACGGGACAACAAGUUAGUUGUGAAAUCCCUCGGCUUAACUGAGGAACUGCAACUAAAACUAUUGUUCUUGAGUGUUGGAGAGGAAAGUGGAAUUCCUAGUGUAGCGGUGAAAUGCGUAGAUAUUAGGAGGAACACCGGUGGCGAAGGCGACUUUCUGGACAAUAACUGACGUUGAGGCACGAAAGCGUGGGGAGCAAACAGGA